UACGAAGGGGGCUAGCGUUGUUCGGAGUUACUGGGCGUAAAGAGCUCGUAGGCGGCCUGUUGCGUCCGCUGUGAAAGCCCGGGGCUUAACCCCGGGUCUGCAGUGGAUACGGGCAGGCUAGAGGUAGGUAGGGGAGAAUGGAAUUCCCGGUGUAGCGGUGAAAUGCGCAGAUAUCGGGAGGAACACCGGUGGCGAAGGCGGUUCUCUGGGCCUUACCUGACGCUGAGGAGCGAAAGCGUGGGGAGCAAACAGG
RNAcentral lists this ribosomal RNA (253 nucleotides) under uncultured bacterium. Its description in RNAcentral is "partial 16S ribosomal RNA". It matches the Rfam family "Bacterial small subunit ribosomal RNA", at positions 524 to 776 of the family's 1533-position model. The record is from RNAcentral.